This 467-nucleotide ribosomal RNA is filed under the name uncultured bacterium. Its description in RNAcentral is "partial 16S ribosomal RNA". It matches the Rfam family "Bacterial small subunit ribosomal RNA", at positions 28 to 506 of the family's 1533-position model. The record is from RNAcentral.
GACGAACGCUGGCGGCGUGCUUAACACAUGCAAGUCGAACGGAAAGGCCCUGCUUUUGUGGGGUGCUCGAGUGGCGAACGGGUGAGUAACACGUGAGUAACCUGCCCUUGACUUUGGGAUAACUUCAGGAAACUGGGGCUAAUACCGGAUAGGAGCUCCUGCUGCAUGGUGGGGGUUGGAAAGUUUCGGCGGUUGGGGAUGGACUCGCGGCUUAUCAGCUUGUUGGUGGGGUAGUGGCUUACCAAGGCUUUGACGGGUAGCCGGCCUGGGAGGGUGACCGGCCACAUAGGGACUGGGAUACGGCCCAGACUCCUACGGGAGGCAACAGUGGGGAGUAUUGCACAAUGGGCGGAAGCCGGAUGCAGCAACGCCGCGUGCGGGAUGACGGCCUUCGGGUUGUAAACCGCUUUCGCCUGUGACGAAGCGUGAGGGACGGUAAUGGGUAAAGAAGCACCGGCUAACUACGU